Molecule: long non-coding RNA, 1325 nt
Organism: Adelges cooleyi (spruce gall adelgid)
Lineage: Eukaryota; Metazoa; Arthropoda; Insecta; Hemiptera; Adelgidae
Exons: 5
Source: RefSeq, a predicted model, not a curated record
GAUUUCGUCUGGGCCAUUGAUAACGGCGCACCGCAAGCGGCGGUCGUGUUGUUUAUCUCCGAACGGAUAAACGUGAAAUGUGUCUUAAAUAUUAACGGAAAAAGUAUUUUUUAUGGUCAGUGUUUGCGGUUGGGUUUUGGAGUUGAAAAAGUAACGUUCUGUAGGCUGUUCCCAAUGGGUAUACCUACUCUGCGACACUUUCGUUUACCGGCGUUGUGGAAGUUCUGGCGUCUCAUGAAGUCCACAAUUGAUUUUCCUGCGGCCAUCGAAAAAUCUCUGCGGUUAAGUUAUUCAUUUUGAUGUUGAUUAACGGAUAGUUUGCUUUCUAAUGUUACCACUUGAUUUUUCUACGUUGGAUUCACCAAUUUGAGAAGACUGUCAAUCGGUGAUACCGAUACAAGCCAAAUAUUUUGACCAGUAUUGUGUCUGUUGAUUUCCAUGCCUGCCGAAAAAUGAUAAGAAUGUCAAAUUGGAUGCAAGAUCACUUUGUUGAUGUUACAAACUCAUUUAGCAAAUUAUAAAACUAAUAACUUAUUUACAUUUUUAACUGCCAAUUUUUAAAUAAUUGUAUGUAUGAUUGUUGAUGUAAAAUAUUUCAAGAUGCAUUUUCAAUAUUUUUUGUACUGUAAUUCGAAUAUUACACUUUGGUUAGAUUAGAUUAACUUAUAAUUUGUGCUAUUCAUUCUAUUAUAACUAAUUUAGGUACAUUUCAUUUGUUUUUUACUAUUGAGUUCACAGGAUACACAAACAUAUAAUUUUUCUACAAUUUUGGACUUCUGACAAACCAGCAGACCUCUUUAGUAUACCGCGUGUACCUUUCAUGAUUAAAUUCUAAUUCUAAUUCUAAACGUACAAUACCAAAUACUGACAUAGAUAUGAUUUCUCAACAGAUUACGAUUCUAAUGACCAAUAUCUAGACAUAUUAUAUAGUAUAGGUACUACACUUAAACAAGUUUUGUUUCGCAAAACACCAUACCACACAUUUAGCCGACUGACCUCUAAACAUUUCUUUCUGUUUUAUACCAUUGCUUACCAAGCCCGUAAAGUAAGCAACACCACAUACUUGAUUUUCAACAUAUCAUUCAAGUAAAAAAAAAAUUGUUUUUAAAUUGAUAUUACAUAAUGAAAAAUAAAAUUAUAUUGAAAUUUUUAAUUAUGAUCAUUUAGUAGGAUGAACUAUUGGUUAGCCAUCUAAAAAAAUAUCAAUUUAUGGAUUUAAAUAUAUGGAUUAAAAAAUAUGAAUGUAUAUUAAUUUAUCUAUUACAUAGAAAAUAUGUCACUGGAUAAGUAUAAAAUAAUAUAGGUAUUUGAUUUGAUGCACUGAA